Varanus komodoensis (Komodo dragon) is the source of this 1800-nucleotide long non-coding RNA. RefSeq lists it as uncharacterized. The transcript has 3 exons. The record is from RefSeq and is a predicted model, not a curated record. Lineage: Eukaryota; Metazoa; Chordata; Lepidosauria; Squamata; Varanidae.
ACAGAAGGUCAAUAAAUUAACCUUCUUUGUGCAUUGAAAUAAAGUUCAGCAAGUUAUUUAUUUAGUAAAUAUUGAAAGAGGUAUGAACAGAAGCAUUCAGAAUCAUGAGCUGGACACAGUUUAUGAAAAUAUACUUGGAAAACAUCUUCAGAUCUUCUAUGGAUGGAAUACAUUCAGGCCCCCAUUUUGUAGGUGACUCAAACUGUUUCAUUCCCAUCAUGUGUAAGGACUACCUUCCUUUUAAUACUUCAGUUGUGGUAUAAUAAUGGGAUUGAUGUCUCCAGGUGAUGAAUGAGGUAGGUUGUUUCCUGCUCACAAAGUGGGAAACACCAAUAAAACCACCCUUCUUUCCCCAUAACAAUGUUGCACUCACCAAAAGCAAAAGGGCAAUUGACUCUGAAUGCAUGGUGCAGUUCCCUUUUAUACCCUUGCUGACCAGGUAGCAAUGACUGAGGUUCAUUGGUUUGAAAUUCUGGCUGCAGACACUGAUUGGUUCACAUUUGCAUCCAGGUAGUUCCAAGGCUUGCCUGGGAGGCUGGGCUACCUGGGAGGCUGGGCUUGGAGCCCUGGCAAGGGAUUGCUUAAUCCCUACCUUGUGGCUGACUCUGGUUUCACUGAUAUGGGAACCUGACCAGCCUGCUGUGUUUAAUGCUGGCCAGCCAGGUAUGUCCUACAACCCAUCCCUUGGGUGUUUUGACAGCUCUUGGAAUAAGGGAAAGAUGGUGUCUGGGAGAAGCUGCUUAGAGUUUUUUCUGCUUCUGCUUAGCAGUGUUUUGUUUUAGCUAGUUAUAAAAUGAACAAACGACUGUUAAACUGUUGAACUGUUAUUUUGUGGCAUCGGAACUACAUGUACCAGGAGGCUUUGAGGAAAGAAGGUAGGAUAGAAAUAAAUAUUUUGGACUGCCAGGUCUCUAGCAAUGGGUACAGCAAAGAGCUGUUAUCUCUGGGAAUGUGCUGUGCUUGACGACAGCCAGCCUGGUAUGUCCUACACUGUCCUUUCCUUGUCUCUUCCCUGGCCACUGGAGCACUGCAUUUUCAGCCUCUCUGAGCUUUUCUGAGGGUUGGGGGAUGGAUUCUAUGUUGAAUUUCCCCUCCUGAGCUCAUGGCAGUAUCUAUGUCCUUGAUAGGGGGAAUCCAAAAAAUUCUAUGGCCCCUUUGAUGCUCUCCAGGGCCAUAGGAUUGCACUGUAAAAUAUAUUCACUGGGAUUGGAACAUGGAUAAAUGAUCUUCAAUAACACCCCCCCACCCCCAACCCAGUCAUGCUCUGGAGGAUCUCCAAGCCCUACAGAGCUGCUUUUCAGGAAGUCUAGAGGGUUGCAGUUGGAAAGAAGGAACCACAAAGACCCCUUGUAUCCCUCAAAUUGGUCCAGAAUUGAACCUGGAAUUUUUUCAAGGCCUGAUUUGUGGUGAUGUUUGUGGGAGCCUUAAAACAUCAACACUUCCCCAUGCUACUAUGCCUUUCUCCUCGUCCAGAAAGAAUAAUUCCUUUGCUUCCAGUUUCUUCCUGUUCAGUGUGGCUACUAUUAUUAAUGCAAUACUAAUGUGUUAUUGUUACCAUAACAAUAGUACACAAUUUUGUAAUUGUGCUAUAUUUAGUCAGUUUCUGUUUCCUUUGUGAGUGGGCUUCAAUUAUUGGCUUAUUUUCUUUGAUAGAAAAAACUCAGUGUGGAACUAGAACAGGAAUUGCCUAAUUACAAGGCAAUUGGUAAAAAGUUAAUUAGCAACUAAUAUGUAGUGCUGGAGUUACACUGAACAGAAAAAAAAGUUGUGUCCCCAGCACUAUAUGACUCUAGUAUAAAA